This 253-nucleotide ribosomal RNA is filed under the name uncultured bacterium. RNAcentral's name for it is "partial 16S ribosomal RNA". It matches the Rfam family "Bacterial small subunit ribosomal RNA", at positions 524 to 776 of the family's 1533-position model. The record is from RNAcentral.
UACGUAGGGUGCAAGCGUUAAUCGGAAUUACUGGGCGUAAAGCGUGCGCAGGCGGUGAUGUAAGACAGGUGUGAAAUCCCCGGGCUUAACCUGGGAACUGCAUUUGUGACUGCAUCGCUGGAGUGCGGCAGAGGAGACUGGAAUUCCUGGUGUAGCAGUGAAAUGCGUAGAUAUCAGGAGGAAUACCGAUGGCGAAGGCAGGUCUCUGGGCUGACACUGACGCUCAUGCACGAAAGCGUGGGGAGCAAACAGG